UCUCCCCCUCGCCUCCGAUCUCUUUGCACGCCUCUCUCGUCCGCAGCGGCGGCGCUGCCGGUCGCCGGUGAGGGCGUCACAUGCUACCGCGGCGCGCUGAGCUCUUCUCCCUUUCCACCGGCCUUUCCUCCCUUCCUCCAUGUUCUGUUCUCCUAUACGCGCGAGAGAUAACAGAGAGGUGCGGCUCUCUCUGGCCGCUCGGCUACCACGCCGCGCCGGUCGCCGGCGAGGGCGUCAAGCCACCGUGCCGCGCGAGCCGCGCUGGCCCUUUUCCCCUUCCCUUUCUCUUCUUUUUUUGUUCUUUAGACAGAGAGAGACAGAUACGAGGUCAAGCCCUCCUCUGCUCCCCUUUUGUUCGACGGACGACGACGAUCUGUGGCGCCGUCGCCUCCCUUUCGCCGGUGACGCGUUUCUCGUAGCGGAAGCGCGCCGCCGUCGAACGGCGUGGCUGCGGUGCCCCCUUUGUCCUUUGCAGGGUUGUUCUUCGUCUGAACAGCUCGGCUUGCCGAUGCCCGUUCGGAUCGAGAGGAACCGGCGCGGCCUUGCGGCGGCGCACUUUGCCGGCGAGCACUAGGCCCUCUCCGGUGAACUCUUUUCUUUUCUGUUCUAGGGUUUGUGGGGAAGGCUUUGUGGGGAAGGCUUUGUUUGGUUUGAUCCGAAGAAUCCUGCACCCAUCUGGCUGAUACCAUUGAUAGAUCCAUGGGAUCGUGUAGGGUAGGAUUUCCGGGAAACUUAUCCUCUGUUGGUCCAGACGAGCUUGAGCCAGAGAACAUGCCAGAGCUGUAGUGGCCGGUGAUGGCUGAGAGAUGGCGGUGGCGGAGCUUCCCGCCGCUGUCAGCUCCGCCUCGAUUGGUAGGCAGGGCAGGUGGGGUGCGAACCAUUCUUGGCAUACUGCACUCGUGGCCCCACCUCCCUUAUAUGGAGCUGCGCGACAGGGGCCCGCAACCCAGUUGAGUUGAGUGUCCCCGAUCAGGACUGAGUCAAGGGUCCAGUUGACCGUUGGGCCAACUAAGAGGAGAUCAACACUAACACUAAUUAUUACAACAGUAACCUCAGGCCUACAGGUUCUGCAGGUGUCUUCUGAAUGCAUCAGUCGCCAAUCCUUGGCCGCUUUGGUAGUCGGUUGUCACCAUCGACGCCGCUGCCAGAUCCAUCCCCAGCGUCGGUCAUGGAUUCGGCGUAGGCCUCACCGCGGGCGAAGCUUUCAUAUUCUGGAUCCUGGUCUCCUACUUCCUCCAGCGCCAAAAACGGGACUGGACUUCAGUUUCGUCUUCAUCUGCAAGCUGACAACGAAGACAAACAUGAGGUGCACGUACCUGGAGCAGUGAACGCCCCUGCUGCAAAACCGCAUGAGCGGGAGCGCGGCCACCACCGGCAUGACCUUCAGAACUCACAUUCUGAACAUAGCUGCCUUGAUCAGCGCCGGCAGCAAGGGCAUGCGAGCACGGCCACCAAUCGUUAGGCACCACUAGAGGCACCUUGUACCAACGGAACAUAUGCAUAGUGUACCGUCAAGCCGUAUUCAUAUCAGACGGCGAGGUCACCGUGUGAUACUGUUGGACUCUACGUACCUUUCCGCCCAUUCUACGAUGGCAUUCAAUCCA
This is a long non-coding RNA of Triticum aestivum (bread wheat), 1604 nucleotides long. RefSeq lists it as uncharacterized. The transcript is spliced from 2 exons. The record is from RefSeq and is a predicted model, not a curated record. NCBI's taxonomy places the organism in Eukaryota, Viridiplantae, Streptophyta, Magnoliopsida, Poales, Poaceae.